This 465-nucleotide ribosomal RNA is filed under the name uncultured Klebsiella sp. RNAcentral's name for it is "bacterial SSU rRNA". It matches the Rfam family "Bacterial small subunit ribosomal RNA", at positions 338 to 795 of the family's 1533-position model. The record is from RNAcentral. Lineage: Bacteria; Pseudomonadati; Pseudomonadota; Gammaproteobacteria; Enterobacterales; Enterobacteriaceae.
CCUACGGGCGGCAGCAGUGGGGAAUAUUGCACAAUGGGCGCAAGCCUGAUGCAGCCAUGCCGCGUGUGUGAAGAAGGCCUUCGGGUUGUAAAGCACUUUCAGCGGGGAGGAAGGCGGUGAGGUUAAUAACCUCAUCGAUUGACGUUACCCGCAGAAGAAGCACCGGCUAACUCCGUGCCAGCAGCCGCGGUAAUACGGAGGGUGCAAGCGUUAAUCGGAAUUACUGGGCGUAAAGCGCACGCAGGCGGUCUGUCAAGUCGGAUGUGAAAUCCCCGGGCUCAACCUGGGAACUGCAUUCGAAACUGGCAGGCUAGAGUCUUGUAGAGGGGGGUAGAAUUCCAGGUGUAGCGGUGAAAAGCGUAGAGAUCUGGAGGAAUACCGGUGGCGAAGGCGGCCCCCUGGACAAAGACUGACGCUCAGGUGCGAAAGCGUGGGGAGCAAACAGGAUUAGAUACCCUAGUAGUC